RNAcentral lists this unclassified non-coding RNA (985 nucleotides) under Hevea brasiliensis (rubber tree). Lineage: Eukaryota; Viridiplantae; Streptophyta; Magnoliopsida; Malpighiales; Euphorbiaceae. The record is from RNAcentral.
ACAGAUGUCAACACCAGCGCAUGCCAUAAAGUUCUUCAACAAAUGAAUUGAUCAGGACAUGAACUUCUGAUAUUUCACAAUUCUAAAUAAAGGAACCCUCCAAAUUCUCAACUACAAAAUCUGGGACAACAUAAAUUAUACAACCACACGCACAAUUCAGCCAGCUACCUUUAUUGAACCAAUCUCAUCUAGCUUUGAGCUCCUGUGCUUGCUUUUCUUGUGUUUGUGGACACCGUUAAGAUCCUCCUCGUCAUGCUUCCUUUUCUUUUCAUGUUUCUUUGAAUGCUCAGCACCAGGAUCAUUGUGGCCACUUUUAUCUUUCUUUUUCUCUUUGUCCUUGUCUUUACUCCGAUCUUUAUGACGAUGUUUGUGCUUCUUAUGCUCUUUGUCCUUCUCCUUGUCUUUAUCCUUGUGUUUUUUAUGCUUCUUCUCCUUCUUCUCCUUGUCUUUCAUCUCGCUCUUAGAUUUUCCAGCUAUAGUGGGGGUGCCUUUGUCAGAAGGAGACAAAUUGACUGGAGCCGUUUCACGUAGUUGGAAGGCUUCUCUAAGGACAUCUAAGUCAAAGGGCCGGAUACAUGAACUUGUCUCUCUUGAAAAGGAAGUAUCCUGCGUGAGCUGAUCCAACUGCAUCUUCUCACCUUUCCUAAUUUCGGUGUCUCCAACCACAUUAUGAAGAUAAUGUGUAUCGGAAAUUGACAAUGGAAGCGACCUCUUACCAAAGAACUCAUAAUGAGGCAACAAUUUGAAGUGACUAAUAAGAUCGCGAGCACCUGUGAGUUCUCUUGGCCCUCUUCCAAAAUUCUUGCUAUCUGGAUCCAUCAAUCAGCACCAAGUAUAUAAAUAGAGCAUUAUUUCUCGAUCAAACUGAUGAGUAUCCAAUCCAAUUGAAGAACGAAGCUCGUCUGUUUUCCAAUUGAAGAUUCUCCUGAAUCAAAAUAAUCGAAAUUUAGGGCUUAGGGUUUGCAAAAAUUCACCGUAAGCUCCG